UUAUUAAUUUAAUUAUUAAUUGUUUGGUUUUGAAAUUAUUCUUGUUUUAAGUAAAUUUUUUUGAAUUAAUUAAUUUUUAUUAUAGUUUAUUAGUAGAGUGAUUGAAUUUUGAUAUAUAUUUUCUAUUUUUUUAAGAAAAAUUAAUUUUUUGUACCUUGUGUAUCAGGGUUUAUUAAAUAAUAAUUAAUUAUUUAAUUUUCUCGAAUUAAAAAGAGCUAAUUAACUAUUUAUUUAAUUGUUAAAUAAAUUUUUUUAAUAGUUUAUUAGAAAUGAAACGUUAUUCGUUUUUUAAUAUAUCUAGUUUUUUAAGAAAAGAAUUUAAUUCUAUUAUUUUUUACUUAAGUUUAUAUUGUUAAUCUUAAGAUUUUGAAUAUUAAAUGUUCAAGGGGAUGAGCUUUUGAACAAAUAUUCUAAAAAUUUUUAGUGGUCAUUAAUUAUUUGUAUAAUUAGAAUUGUUAAUCUUUAGAAUAAUUUUAUAAUUAAUUUUUAUGUAUUUAUGAUUUUUAUUGUUUUUAGAUUUUUUAUUAAAAUAUAUUUUUUAAUUUUUUCUAUUUAGUUAUUAUGAUGAAAUUAGUAAAAUUUUAAUUGUAUAUUUAUUUUUUGUUGUUAGGUUUUUUAAAGGAAUUCGGCAAAUUUAUUUUUCGCCUGUUUAUUAAAAACAUGUCUUUUUGAUUAUAAUUUAAGGUUUAAUCUGCUCAAUGAGGAUUUAAAUUGCCGCGGUAUUUUGACCGUGCAAAGGUAGCAUAAUAAUUAGUUUCUUUAUUGGAAGCUGGAAUGAAUGAUUGGACGAGAAAAUUACUGUCUCUGAUGAAUUUAAUUUUUAAUUUAACUUUUAAGUUAAAAGGCUUAAAUUUUUAUUAAAGACGAGAAGACCCUAUAGAGUUUAAUAUUUAAAUUAUUUAAUGGUUUUUGGUUAUUUAAUAUUUUAAAUUUUUUAUUUAUUUGGUUGGGGUGACUUGAAGAUUAAAAAAACUCUUCAAAAUUAAUUUUUAAUCAUUGAUUUAUGAAUUUAUAAUCUAUAUUUUUUAAAUUUAAAAUAAAUUACCUUAGGGAUAACAGCGUAAUUUUCUUUUAGAGUUCAUAUUGAAAGGAAAGUUUGCGACCUCGAUGUUGGAUUAAAAUUAAUUUCUGGUGCAGAAGCUGGACAAUUAGGUCUGUUCGACCUUUAAAAUUUUACAUGAUCUGAGUUUAAACCGGUGUGAGCCAGGUUGGUUUCUAUCUUGAUAAUUUUACAAUAUUUUAGUACGAAAGGACCAAGUAUUGGAUAUAUUUAUUUAUUUGUUUGAAU
RNAcentral lists this ribosomal RNA (1288 nucleotides) under Anostirus castaneus. RNAcentral describes it as "16S ribosomal RNA". The stretch from base 1052 to 1210 matches the Rfam family "Archaeal large subunit ribosomal RNA", at positions 2542 to 2701 of the family's 2987-position model. The record is from RNAcentral. Lineage: Eukaryota; Metazoa; Arthropoda; Insecta; Coleoptera; Elateridae.